GAUGAAGAACGUAGCGAAAUGCGAUAAGUAAUGUGAAUUGCAUAAUUCAGUGAAUCAUCGAAUCUUUGAACGCACAUUGCGCCCGUUAGCAUUCUAGCGGGCAUGCCUGUCCGAGCGUCAUUUCAACCCUCAGGGUCCCCGUUCCGGCGGGGAACCUGGUGUUGGGGAUCGGCCCGCCCCGCGCGGCGCCGUCCCCCAAAUUCAGUGGCGGUCUCGCUGCAGCCUCCCCUGCGUAGUAGUUACAACCUCGCAUCGGAGCUCAGCGCGGCCACGCCGUAAAACCCCCGACUUUCUGAACGUUGACCUCGGAUCAGGUAGGAAUACCCGCUGAACUUAAGCAUAUCAAUAAGCGGAGGA
Molecule: unclassified non-coding RNA, 357 nt
Filed under: soil metagenome
Description: partial contains 5.8S ribosomal RNA, internal transcribed spacer 2, and large subunit ribosomal RNA
Rfam family: 5.8S ribosomal RNA (bases 1-120)
Source: RNAcentral